This is a long non-coding RNA of Passer domesticus (house sparrow), 6215 nucleotides long. RefSeq lists it as uncharacterized. The record is from RefSeq and is a predicted model, not a curated record. Lineage: Eukaryota; Metazoa; Chordata; Aves; Passeriformes; Passeridae. The transcript is spliced from 2 exons.
CAUCAGCAGUGUUGCUCAGCUCAGGGGCCGUGUAGGGGAUUACCCCGGCCACCAGCUUGAGCUUGGUACCCUUGGGCCUCGUCAGGCCAAAGUCAGUGAGUUUGACGAGCCGGCAGUCGGGAUCAAAAAGCAGCACGUUCUCAGGCUUGAUGUCGCGGUACACCAGCCCCCGGCUGUGGAUGAACUCCAGCGCGCUCACGAGCUGCUUGGCACACUGCUUUGCGGCCGGCUCAGGAAUCCCAUCCUGGGCAGGGAGAGAGAAAGGCAGGAUGGCACACAUGGGCACCUCAGCAGCCCUGCCAGAGGGGCUCUCACCUCAGUGCCCUGCACUGGGAAAGAUCUUCACGUUUCUCACCUUGCAAGCCCAAGGCUGCUUCAGUGCUGCAGACCCCAGAUAGACCCACAGCCAUUGCCUUUAUCUCCCUCCAUCUGACCCAGCCAGCCUCCAUAGGGGCCAAAUGCUGCAGCCCAAUCCCCAUGGCCUCGUAGCAACACUCACGCGGGGUUUGAUGAUAGAGAUGAGGUCUUUGUGCAGCGCUGGUUCAUAGAGGAAGCCAUAGUACUGGCUGGACUCAAUGGCAAUUCCAAACAUGCCGAUGAUGGCAGGGUGGGUGGCGAGGGACAGUGCGACACAAUACUCAUACAGGAAGGUGUGCAGCUUGGUACUGGCUUUGGGUAGCAGCUUGAGAGCCAUAGGAGUCCCUGGGGAUGGGAAGAGUGGGUUUGAUUCCCGUGGAAGUCACACCAAGGCAAGACAGAGCAGCCACAGAUGCAGGCAGCCACAGCCUCGGGAAGGUCUCUAGUCCAAAGUUUGUGUGGGUAUACCCAGGUUUGGGAACAGGCACUGCUGCUGGUGUGAGUUUUGAGCCCUGGGCAUGCACAGGAGCCCUGGCAGAGUAGAGACAUUCAGGAUAUUUGGGCCCAUCAGUCUGAGCUGGGACUAUUGGGGAAGAGCAGUGUCAGGGCACUCAUACGGCCAAGCCAGGACCUUCAUUCACACCCUCUGUCCAUGGCCACCACUUCAGAUCAGGCUUGGGGCUCUGUGACUCAGCCCUAUGGUGGGACUGCUGUUUCCAUCUAUAUCACAUGCAUGUUGGUGUGUAUUUGUGAACUCUCUUGAUUCUGAUUUAUGGAUUAACUUCCCAGCUUGACCCUGGACCUGUCUUAUCACUAUAAUCUUGCUGGAUGUUCUGGGCUGCCCCCUGGCAUCACCUGGACACUGGCUGGAUGUAAUGAGAUGAUCCCUAGCUGGGGAGGUCCCCAUCCUGUUAGUCUCCCUGGGGAUCCUCCCUGCUAUGCCUGCUGUCUGUCCUCAGCGUGCCACCAACCCACCCCAUGCCCUGUGCCCUGGUGAGUGGAGAGGAGACAAGGCACAGUCAGUUCCUUACCUCUCUGCCUGUGGGUCACUAGCAUCACAUGGCCAUACUUGCCCCUGCCCAGCUCCCGAACAACCUCAUAGUGCUCAGCUACCUCGGCGCGCACCAGGCUCUGAGCAGUGAUCUCCAGAAGCUCCUCCAGCUUGGUUGGUGCUGCUCUCUCUGGCACUGCUGCAGUCACAGCUGAGCUCUCGGCCAUGACUGAGUGCUGCAGGAACACCACAGCCAGAGUCAGGAACAUCACAGCAUGCACAGAGAAAGCCAGAUCAAACAUGCAACACAAACCAUGCCAUGGCAGGGCAUAUUUCUGCCACUUGGAGCCUGAGCACUCUUGCUGCUGUGCUAGAAUUGAAUUUGCACUUUUAUACAGCACAUCUCUGGCAAAGCCCUUCAUCAUAGAAAAGUCUCUGUAUUGAAGGGAACCUCCUCCAGCCCCCUAAUCCUUUUGCCUAAUAUUAAACAACAGGAAAAACAUUAGCAGAGUCCCAGAUUUUCAAGUGUCACCCAGUCAUCCCCUUGCUCUCAUUAGCCUACUGCAGCAAGACCUUAUUUCUCUACUCAGAAUUCCACCUCUACUGCUUACUGGAGAAAGUCCUUGAGCUGGCAGAUGAGACAGAACCUGUCCCUCAGGCACAGGCACAGCUAGCAUGUGACAAAAUGCAGAGUGGCCCAAGGAAGCCAAAGGGAGCUCAGUACCUCACAUGCCUGAUGACAUUUCUGACCAAAAGUCAUGCAUCUGUGCAGCCAAGUAACUUAUACAGGAAGUAACCUGGGACAUCACUGGCAUUUUGAGCUACAGCCAGGUGCUUCAGACCCAUUUCAGAGAAGUGUUUUUUCACUUUUCCCAGACAGCUACAAGGCAGCAUUUUAAGGCCUCUGUGGUAGCACUUUCUCCCUGUCUACCUCCCUGUGCUCUGAACAAGGCAUUUUGGGCCUGGGAGUUCUUCCUGGCCUUGGAGCAAAGUCACAGAACCAGAGUCACAGGAUGGUAAAUGCCAGAAGGUACUUCUGGAGACCUCUUACUGCAACAACCUGCUCAGAGGAGGAUUAACUAGAGGAGGUUGUCUGGUGUCCAGCCCAGUUUUAAAUAUCUAUAAGGAUGGAGACUCCGUAGCUGCUGUGGGUAACCUGUUUCAGUGUCCAAUCACCCUUGUGAUAAAAAGAUUUUAAUUUAUGCUUAAAUAGAAAUUCUGUUUCAGGCCCACUACCUCUUGUUCUGUCACUCAGUAUCAUUUGAUACUGUGAUACACCUGGUUGUGUGUUUUUGCAGGUGUUCAUAUGCAUCAAUCAGAUGAUCCUCUCAAGCCUUCUGUUCUUGAGGCUGAUGAAGUCCCAGCUCUGUUAGCCUCUCCUCCUGUGAGAGAUACUCCCAUAUCUUAACUGUCUUCACAGUCUGGAUUUGUUCCAGUAUGUUCACAUCUCUCUUCUGCAAAGGAACCCCACUGCUGCUAAAUACAGUCAUGCUUCAAAAUAAAGAAAUUUGUAAAAAAAGAAUCACGUAAACCACAAGGCUGGAUUUCGAUAGGACCCUGGGACUAUUUGUGGGGAAAUUCCUCUUCUCUUCCCUUCCAUCUCUCCUAGAUUGCAUUUCUAAAUCUUAUCCAAUUCAGAAGUGCCAAGUAAUUGGCCCUACUUUUCUGCAAGAGUAGAGCAAUAAAAUGAAUGAGCCAGCUUGGAAGACCAGAUCAUCCAGAGGAUAUGGGUAGAGUUUCUUGAGGGCCUGUGACCUGUGAGUCUGAUCAGGGCUCCUUAUGGAGGAAGCCCCAGCUGCAGUCACUCCAGAACAGUUUGCAGACUUUUUGGCCCUCGCUGCCCUUGGAGUCAUUAACUACAAGAGGAAGUCCAUACUCGAGAAAACAGCUGAUGUUGAUAGGUCUUUCUUUGAGAUGCCACUGUGAUUAGCUAGGAAGAUUGACAAGCACUGAAGAGGAGGUCACCAGGGCCCUGGCCAGGAUGCAUUCACCAUUUGGCUGUGCUGUACUGAAGGCAGCAGGCAGAGUCCUAUUCAAACCUGUUUUUUCCUCCACUAUCCUUUCCAUGCUUCAUCCCUGCUAGAGUUCUUGUUUCCAGGCUGCUGACUGUGAGAAACUGUAAUUCCUCAAAAGAAUCUCUAAUUACAGCAGCAAAAAGCUCACAUCCUUUACAACAUCACGAGAUACUUCUGAACCACCUGAGAAACUGUUGGGGAUCUAACCUAUGGAAAUGCAAUGUCUUAGUUCAGGUAAUAUUAUUCUGGUUCUUCAACCAAAAUGAUUAAUAUAUUUAGUGCAGAAAAGCACUUCAUACAUGUCAAAAGCCAAAGACAGUGUGAUCCCUGUAUAACAGAGACAGUGCUAUGAUAACAAAAUCACAGGUGUGUUUCGGUUGGAAGGGACCUCUUGAGAUCAUCUAAUCCAAGCCCCUGGCUCAAGCUGGAGCAACUGAAGCAGGCUGUCUAGGAAGGUGUUUAGCCAGGUCUUCAAUAUCUCCAUAGAUGGUGACUCCUCUCAAAGAUCACUGCUUAGAAGAUUCUGGCUCCCUUUUCUUCAUUAUCCCUCAUCAGAUAUUUAUAUACACCAAUAAGAUCCCAUCUGAGCCUUCUCUUUUUCAAGCUGAAGAGUUUCAGCUGUUUCAGCCUCUUCUCAUAUCAAAGAUACUCUAUUAAAAAUGGCCUUGAGCGUAUGGCAUGUGGGGUCCACUUUCUUGUCUGACCUUCUACAGGGCCUUAACACAAACCAAAUAACAAAUAGCAUCUGGGGCACCUCUUUCAAAAAGUCAUUCAGGCUUGAUCCAAAGACAGUGGGUCAAUUAUAAAUGCUGGUGUGAACAUUCUUGCUGUUAGGUUUUCAUAUGAUAACCUAAUCUGAAUUUACCUAACCUGCUGCUGCAGUUUCUCAGAUAGAGAAAUGAGGUUUCUAAUACCUGUUAAAUUUCUCCAGACUCUUGCAGUGUUUAUAUGCACUGUGGUCAGAGGUAUGACCACAGGCUAUGAGAACAUAUUUUCAAUUAAUUAGGUUGUGUAAAAUUAAGGCUGAAGCUCAGGCUAUGCAUUUAACUGAUGCUUUACUUAGGCUCCACAAAGCAUCUGUCACACUGUGCUUCUGUAGUGCCUGCAUCAGUUAGUUAAAAAACAGAUGUGAUGCUGCCACAAAAUGUGGUCACAUUUUGAAUUGAGAAUAAGCAUCUCUGUGCUCUCUGAUCAAGACACCUCUCACAUUUCUUAUUGGUUUAAUGCCUUCAAAUAACUUUUUGUCUAAUCGUCAAACCAAGCUCUCAGAUUGUCCAGCCUGCUUGUUCGGCUCUCAGAUCUGUUUCAUGGCUCUUUUUUAAAGCCUCAUCAUUUUUCUCCUCCCAUCCCACACAUUAAAACCCAACUGUCUUGGGGGGAAUGCCUCCUGUCACACAUUGACUAGAAUUCCCCCCUGCCUCAUGCUGUGGCCUCAAGAUCUCUUUUUGCAGGAAUGACACACAGGCUGCACUACCUUAUACAUCCAUUAUGAGUCCAGAGUUUUUCCAAAUUACUGGUGAAUGUUGGGGAAGAAAUUAACUGCCUCUUCAUGUCCCUUUAUGGGUACUGCCUAACUGGUUUCUACAUGAAUAUUUUUGCACCAUGUUUAGUAAAGCACAUCUUUCUCAAAUGUAUUUAGUGUACCUCAAGUAACUCAGAUCAUUUCACCCAGUUGCUAUCACACUUCUGCUUAGGGGCUCUGUAAGGAUCCCACCUGCAGGCAUCUCCCACUUCUAAAUUUUUGGUUUGAAGCAGUUCUCAUCCUGGUAUUGGUUCAUAUAGCACCUGCCAGAAAUGUCCCAUUCACCGGUCAUUUCCUGAAAGUUAUCUGUACAAAUUCAUCCUGGCAUUGGUCUAAACCAAGAAGCCACACAUUUUUAAUUAAUUAUUUAAAAGCCCAGUAUAUAGUGGAAAACACCAUAUUUUAUUGUUGUUCUCACCCUACACAAUUAUUAUUUUUUCCAAUCCUAACUCUGUCAUAAUACUUUUGCUUUUCUCAAUGGUCUAGAAGAAAAUACUGAAAUCGUCCAGAAAAAUAUUUGCAAAUGGCACAAAAAGGGUUUGGGUAGACAAUGUGUUGCUUGGUAAAACUAGUGCAUGCACAUACACAGAUACAAAAGCAUUCCAAAUGACCAAAGCAGUCAGGAUUUUAGUCUGGCAUUGGAUGGGUGACAGGGGGAAAAAAAAGUCAUAUUAAUCAGACACAUCCAGGUUCUUCAUGCUGCUUAAUGGGCAGUAUAUAAAUCCAGAAAUGUACAUCUGGUAUAGCCUCACUACCUUUGCAGGCCUUAAGACAUUGGAUGAUAGAGAAUUGCAGUAGAAAUAAUCUACAGUGAUAUAGAUACACAUCUUAGUGUUACAGAUACAAGUCUAACAGCAUAGCAAGAGCAGAACAAGGGUUACUGAUGCUACAGAUUCCACUUUUGCAUUCAUUCUGGUAAAGAGAAUGCCUGAAAAGAUUCAAAUGCAGGAAACAUCAGCAGUGAGAGGCAAACUAACAUUUUCCAGAUGCUAAAUUAAGAAAGUAAGCAUCACCGUAAACAAAACAAAACAAAGAAGAAAAAAAAAAUAAGAGACAGCUGUUCCAUUUCACGUAGGCUGAGAUGGUUGUAACAAAAGAAGAGAUCUGUUCUGAGGCAAUGUGCCUCUUACAGUGAACUCCAGUUUCUGCAGAGGUUCCUACAUACAGAUGCAAUGAGACAGUCUGAAAUUUAAUCUUCAAAAAUCAGCUGAGUUAGGGAAGCUGUAUUUCUGAAGAGCUGACCACCUGUUAACAGCUUCUGCACUACAAUUCAGAAUAUCACACACCAGUGGAAUUUGUAUUUUUAUAAUAAAUUUAUUUUUUCGUUUGC